This 348-nucleotide long non-coding RNA is filed under the name Gossypium barbadense (sea-island cotton). Its description in RNAcentral is "long non-coding RNA (GBAR_LNC004175)". The record is from RNAcentral. Lineage: Eukaryota; Viridiplantae; Streptophyta; Magnoliopsida; Malvales; Malvaceae.
AUGCAUGUGUAGUAGCGUAUAGUUCAAUUCAAAGUGUGAACAUGUUCAAGGAGCUCUAUGGUCAACAUAGAAUUAGUUAGCAGCUACUUCUUGGCCGAAUAAGUGCCUUGGAAAGUUAGGAGACAGCCACCAUACAUGCACUUAAGCCAUUCAUGCAUUCUAUCAUCCAAUGCAUUUGAUCCAUUCAUGGACUAGCCUUUAAUGUCCAUACAUGCAUUCGACACAUGCAUGAAUUUGUAGAAACAUUGCAUCUAGCCGUACAUGCACCAGCAUUUAAUACUUCUUCAUUCAUGAGUGUGGAAUGCCCAAAAGAGAUGUUUCUUCAUCCAUACAUUGUACCGUCCAAAG